UGGGGUAUAGUGUAACGGUAGCACAACUGACUCUGAAUCAGUUAGUCUAGGUUCGAAUCCUAGUACCCCAG
Molecule: transfer RNA, 71 nt
Filed under: bacterium
Lineage: Bacteria
Description: tRNA-Gln
Rfam family: tRNA
About the family: Transfer RNA (tRNA) molecules are approximately 80 nucleotides in length. Their secondary structure includes four short double-helical elements and three loops (D, anti-codon, and T loops).
Source: RNAcentral